CAAUUAAUAUCAUGGUGAAAUCUAAAUGAAUAUUUUAAUCACAACACAAAUUAAUUACGUAAACAACAAUAAUCUCAAAUGGAAAUUGGAAUUGAAAUAUUACCCCCACAGAACAUAUACACUACUGCAUCCAGUAAUUGUUGCAUAAUCAAAACAAUAUGGAAUCCGGCGAUGUCGCGACAUGAACAAUAUCAGAUCCAAACCUUGAAUCAAACUCAUAACCUACAUAAAAACAGACAGCAAUCCAAACAGAAUAGAAACACAAAGUUCACAUAUUCGAAAUCGAAAAAGCAGAGUUGAAUUAAAAAUGAGAAUUCAGAAUCGAAUUUUGCUGUAAGUUACUACACAAUGGUAUUGUUCAAAAGAGAUUCAAGCCCUCUUCUCAAGUUGAGUUAGCUCAAAAUCAACAUUAUGGUUCACCGAGAUUAUUUCGUAAGGCCGACACAGUUUUCAGAUCCACCAACAAGGGUAUCGUUCCCGCUCAAUUAAACUACUUAAAGACCAUCAAUCUAGACAAAUUCAUCCACAUCAAGAGGAUCGAAAUCAGAAGCAUUGAUCAUAUGAGCCAAUUAAACAUGAAACUCUUCUUCCUGUAAAAGAUUGAAAUCCAUCGCACCUCGAUGUCGUUGUUUGAACGGUUAUGAAUAACGGUUGGAUAGGGAGACAAUGAAAGACAAGGAAUAUGUUUCAAAAUUUAUUUCACGGCAGUUUGAAAGAAAUGGUAUGCGUUUGGUGGAUGGUUGAAGUGUCGAUGAAAUUGGGUCUGACAAAAAGGAUUGUAGACGUUUGGAAAGGGUGACGGAGUGUAACAAUGGCGGAGGGAGAUGUCGCACAGAGCACGAUGGUGUGUGGUUUGUUUGGAGGGUGCGGUUAUGAUGGGUUUCGCUGUAGCUUUUGUGUGGCUGAGAUGAAUCUCACAUGGUUUGGAAGGAGUUUUAAGAAAAAAC
This 947-nucleotide long non-coding RNA is filed under the name Lathyrus oleraceus (garden pea). RNAcentral describes it as "Pisum sativum (pea) long non-coding RNA (PSAT_LNC003100)". Lineage: Eukaryota; Viridiplantae; Streptophyta; Magnoliopsida; Fabales; Fabaceae. The record is from RNAcentral.